RNAcentral lists this ribosomal RNA (297 nucleotides) under uncultured Desulfuromonas sp. Its description in RNAcentral is "partial 16S ribosomal RNA". It matches the Rfam family "Bacterial small subunit ribosomal RNA", at positions 1084 to 1382 of the family's 1533-position model. The record is from RNAcentral. Lineage: Bacteria; Pseudomonadati; Thermodesulfobacteriota; Desulfuromonadia; Desulfuromonadales; Desulfuromonadaceae.
GUCCGCACGAGCGCAACCCUUGUCCUUAGUUGCCAGCAUUCAGUUGGGCGACUCUAAGGAGACUGCCCGGUGUCAAACCGGAGGAAGGUGGGGAUGACGUCAAGUCCUCAUGGCCCUUAUGUCCAGGGCUACACACGUGCUACAAUGGCCGGUACAAAGGGGCGCAAGACCGCGAGGUGGAGCAAAUCCCAAAAAACCGGUCUCAGUUCGGAUUGGAGUCUGCAACUCGACUCCAUGAAGUUGAAAUCGCUAGUAAUCGCGUAUCAGCAUGACGCGGUGAAUACGUUCCCGGGCCUU